CUCUGCCCCGCUUCCCGUCGUGUCUCCGAGCAAAGCGACGUAGAGCAGAAGCAGCAGCAGCAGCAGCAGCAGCGGAGGAUCAGGAGGAGAGGGAGGAGAGCCGAGCGCAUCCCAAAGUUUGAAGCUGCAGCUGUUCGACGCAGCGAACACAAGGAUCGGCUUAUGCGGAAUCAGUUUGCAGUGAUACACAGCUCUACCUCCUUCGUAUCCUGGAUCUUGCUAGCAUUGCCCCAUCCUGAAGCCUAAACACCGAGCUGCACGCUGACAUUUCGGCUGUUGGAUCAGUUCUACAGAGGCGAGAGAGUGUAACUGGCAACAAGUGGUGGUUUCGAAGGAGCUGCGGUGAUUCUUCAGCUCAACCAGGAACAUCCGACGACAAUAAACCAUCAUUGUCCCUCUGUCGUAUCAUGAGGACAGUCUGCCUGAACAGAUUCUGCAUUCAGCGCACUGACCGGAUGAAGGCUGCUUUUUUUUGUGACUGACAGUCUUAACAAACACAAACUCACCAUCUCAGAACCUCCUAAUUCAUUCCCUACCUCUUGUUGCUUCUCGGCUUGUCAAGAGAAGAGAUCAUCCCAAAGGGAGACGGUGAAAGGAAGUUAUUAUUUCAACACUUGACAGCUCUGACCUACUUAUCACGCUCCAGCUAGCCGGACUGAAGGGGAAAAAAACAAACAAAAAAAAAAAAAACAAAACUUGCAUUUAGCAGGCAGCAUCAGCAAAAGGUGAUGCACUCCUCUGUAUUCAGGGCCAUUGAUCCACUGACCUCCUGAUCUAAUUAGCUGCACACAAACAACCCAUGCAUGUGUGAACGCAGACAAACACCUGGUGUCGCCCUGCAGAUGCUUUAAAUAGCCUCGUGUUUGUAACACUAGCGUCUGUCCCUUGGCUCGGUGACACGACACCCACAACACACACACACACACACACUUAAGCAGCUAUACCCAAUUGGGUGUUAGGAGUCCAUCUGCACCCCAUUAACUCCCGUAGCAAACACCGACCUUGACUGUGACGCGUGCUUGUGCGUUUGCAUCAGCAGGAAGCAGUGUCACAUCCUGUCUGCUCUGAUUGGGAGUGAGAAUGAGAGCUGCUGUGGCAGACUGGCCUUGAUAAAUACUCUUGGAAAAAAAAAUUAGUGCCUGAGGGUCAGCCACUCAAACUGGAAGCCAUAGAGCUUCAUUAGAAGCUGUUUAGUCACUUCCUUAAAAUGUGUGACAUUCAAAAGUAGUCCACAUUAAUUGAAAAGUGUGUGUGUGUGUGUGUGUGCAUGUGUGUCUGUCACGUUGUCAGAGCAGAUUAGGGCCAGGUCUGUCUUGGUCAUGUCACUUUGACUGACCUAGAUUUGACAAAAUAAACCGGCCACCAGAGGAAAACCUGUAUGCUGUGAUCAGAACAACACACACACAUUUUGGAGAUUGCUCUGCAGUCUUCUAACUUUUAACCUGCUAACUUACUCUGCCUAGCUACUUCACCCAACUAACAGGGUUUACAAUAUAAAACGUGUAAACUCUUAAUUUAGCCUCAUAAUCAAACU
Molecule: long non-coding RNA, 1534 nt
Organism: Lates calcarifer (barramundi perch)
Lineage: Eukaryota; Metazoa; Chordata; Actinopteri; Centropomidae
Exons: 3
Source: RefSeq, a predicted model, not a curated record